UCGCCGGCGGUGACAGUGGCGGCUCCGGCCCCUCUCCUGCUCAGUCCGUCGUCGUCGGCGGCGGCGGCGGCUCAGUGCUGCAUCACCCCCUCGCUCGCUGGAUGGAAGGAUAGAUGGACGCACCUCCUUACCGAUGUCAGAUCGGCCUUCCUGAGAGUGAACCCGCAUCUGGCCUUGAGGGAGUCCCCAGCCAUAUCCUCAGAACCAGCUGCCAGGCAUAACUACUCUGCCCAAGACCACAGGAAGUUUCAGUGAAUUGUGGAUGUAGCCCGGUUCAUCACUCAAAUUAACCUACCACCAUCGAGUCUCUCUACAUUUCAGCUGCCUCAGGAAAACAAUCAGCGUAAUCAAGGACCUUUUCCCUCUUCUCCUCCUCCUCCACUACCUGAUUCAGGAAAAGCUUCUCUGCUGUUAUCAGACUACUAAUCAGUCCUCCCAUAGCUAGGUGUAGUCCUGACCCCCCAACCUACCUCAUUUUGGACAUUUAACUUUAUUUUUAUUUUCACUUUCUUUGUAACACUAUAUUUUGCACUCUGGUACUUUUCCCUUUGUGUUAGCUGUUGCAUUCUUGUAUGGCUUGAUUUUACUUAUCUACAGUAUGAUUUGACUGGAUUGCGUGAAACCGCAGCUUGUCACUGUAUCUCGAUACACAUAUAAACCAAUAAACUAAUAACAAUACCCACCAGUGGUGGCUCAGCAAUGCACAUAUUGUAAGCAUGGAGUAAAUCCAAUCUCCAAUCAAAGUAGAUAUGAGAAUUUAUAAUAACGAUAUAAAUAUUAUAUAAUUAUUUGUCAAAUUGUAGUGAACGGUGCCAACUGAUCGAGAACACAAACAUCCUGCGGCGUGGAUGUGUUUGCGAGUGCGUACGGGUAUACGUGAGUGUGCACAGAAACAUCCUGCAGCGUACUCUGCUGCGCACUCGGGGUUUGCAAGUGCGUUCGGGGAUAUUCGGGGAUAAGUGAGUGUAUGUACCUUAUUUGGUAGUGUAAUAAAUUACUUAGUGAAUCAAA
This is a long non-coding RNA of Leucoraja erinaceus (little skate), 1011 nucleotides long. RefSeq lists it as uncharacterized. The record is from RefSeq and is a predicted model, not a curated record. The transcript is spliced from 3 exons. NCBI's taxonomy places the organism in Eukaryota, Metazoa, Chordata, Chondrichthyes, Rajiformes, Rajidae.